AGCCAACGCUGGCGGCAGGCCUAAUACAUGCCAGUCGAACGGUCUCUUCGGAGGCAGUGGCGGACGGGUGAGUAACGCGUGGGAACGUGCCCUUUGGUACGGAACAACUGAGGGAAACUUCAGCUAAUACCGUAUGUGCCCUUCGGGGGAAAGAUUUAUCGCCAUUGGAGCGGCCCGCGUUGGAUUAGAUAGUUGGUGGGGUAAUGGCCGAGCAAGGCGACGAUCCAUAGCUGGUCGGAGAGGUUGAUCAGCCACACUGGGACUGAGAUACGGCCCAGAUUCCUACGGAAGGAAGCAGUAGGGAAUCUUACGGAAUGAGCGAAAGCCUGUCGCAGCCAUGCCGCGUGAAUGAUGAAGGUCUUAGGAUUGUAAAAUUCUUUCACCGGGGACGAUAAUGACGGUACCCGGAGAAGAAGCCCCGGCUAACGUCGUGCCAGCAGCCGCCGCCG
This 449-nucleotide ribosomal RNA is filed under the name uncultured bacterium. RNAcentral's name for it is "partial 16S ribosomal RNA". It matches the Rfam family "Bacterial small subunit ribosomal RNA", at positions 32 to 523 of the family's 1533-position model. The record is from RNAcentral.